This is a long non-coding RNA of Heterocephalus glaber (naked mole-rat), 5411 nucleotides long. RefSeq lists it as uncharacterized. The record is from RefSeq and is a predicted model, not a curated record. Lineage: Eukaryota; Metazoa; Chordata; Mammalia; Rodentia; Bathyergidae.
CGCGCCGGACCAGGCCGCCGGAAGUGGGCGGGCGGCGCGCUCCGCGCCUGGGCCUCGGACGGUGGCCGCUAGGGGACGAGCGGGGGCGCGGCCCGGAGUCACCCCUCCCCCUGCGUCCCGAUGGUAACGACCUCCGCCAGGUUCGUCGUGGUGACGUCAUGGGCGCGCGACCUGGUUCGUCUCCGAGGCGGUGCUGUCGCCGCCCCUGUGCUGCGCCGUCCCCGGGAGCGGACCGAGGCCUGGGGAGGUUCCGACUGGACAGACCGUGGGCUUUCCCUCUGAAGGUUCCACUCCGCGCCAGGCCUCCCUCCCUCCUCCGCCGGGCAGGGUGCUUUCCUCACGCGCCUGUAAUCCUGGUGCUCGGGAGGCUGAGGCAGGUCGAGGCCAGCAUGGCUGCACAGUGAGUUCAGGGCCAGCCUAGGCUACAGGGCGAGACCCUGUCUCAGGCACCGGACCGAAGACAGACAGCUCACGUGAUAAAGACAACUGUGCAGGGCAAGGACACCAAGAUAAAGCAGAUAGACUGAAACAAGCACAGAGGACAUGAAGAAAUCUCACAAAAGCCAUUGAGACUAAAAUAGUCUCAUCUUCACUAGUACUUAGAGAAAUGCAAAUUAAAGCAAUAAGAUAAUACGCAUUCCUGAGACUGGCGAAAACUAAGUCUAAGGUUACCAGAUGUUGAGUGGGCCCAGGGAUGGGCGUGCAGAUGAUGCAAUCACUUUGGAAGCCAGGGCAAGGCCGGGGCUGUCCCCAGACUUUUGUUACCUAAAGGGCAGGACUCCGGGAACUACAGGGCCCUUCCUUCCGGCGUGCCAAUAGUGCAUUUCAAGGACGAUGCUUAGAAGUCUGUGAUUCAGCAUUGUGUGAGGGGACGGGACGGGUAGAGUUGGGAAUCCUAACCCUGUGCUCUGGUCCCAGCUCUCCUCCUCCGCUGUGGAACGUUGGACAGAUGCCCUAACUCCUCUGAGGCUCACGUCCUUCCCUUGCGUACUUCCCAUGUUUGUGCAGUGCCUCCUGGGUGCCAUGCGCCGUGCCAGCUCCUGGGUUGAGUGUGAGUGGGACGUGGGCAGCCUAAGAGGAGCUCCCGGCAGUGAGCCUCCUCUCCUAAGAGGAGGGCCGUGGAUGCUGGCGCCUCAGCGCGGAAGCCGAGUGUGGGUGCCAGGAGGAGGAGAGACUGAAGAGUGGACAUGCCAGCGCCCUGCCGUGGCUAAGAGGCCAGCUCCGGGGCCAGUUCCAUCUCAAGACAUCCUGGCUCUAACCUUCGUUACCCAGCCUCCUGGGGAAACAGCUCCUCAUCUCUCAGCAGAUCAGAAUUGUACCAUUUUUAUUUUGAAAUAUCAAGACACAGCAUACUAAAAAAAGGCAGUCGUGCUAGUAAAGAGGCAGUCGUGCUAGUUAAAUGUCACCUGUUCAUCUCUUCCUCCUCCUCCUCCUCCUCUCUGGCACUGUUAACAAACACAUUGCUCCUCACCAAGGCACUGUGCGAGGUGCUGCAGAGCAGCUAGAGAUCUGUUGUCAACCUGGCCUGGCCCUGGCUUCCUCACUGGGGAUGUUGCUUCAGGUGACCAUUCAGUUCUUGCCUUGUGACCUUUCCUGAAAAUGCUGUCCUGCCUGAAAGUGACUAGAGACCUGCGGAAAGUGAAAUGGAUUUUGAGGCAGUCAUUUCUAAGUGUCCUGAAGUCUGAGGAGGGCGUGACUCAGCACAGAAUGAGCCAGAGGGAGACAUCAUUUAGGUGAGGUGACAGGUGCUGUUAAUAGAGACUUGAGUGAGAACUAAAACUCACACAGAAUAAAUUUACCUUGAUGUAAAAAAUUAUGGUCCAGGUGGGGCAGAGAUAUAGCUUAAUCUAUACUAUAUAAUAUAUAUAAAGCAAAAUCUUUACAAUGUAUUACAAAGGGCUAACUUUGAAGACAAUGAACACUAGGAAAAUGGACAAAGGAUAUGGAUAGCCUAUUUAGAAAAACACAAAAGGACAGAUGGGCAAUACAUAUAGAAAGGGGUUAAACUUCAUUCAUAAUUCAAGAAUUAAAAUGAAAAUAAGAUACAUCAUUUGAGCAAAAAUGAGCUGGACAGAAGCAGUGUGGCUGAGGGUGUGAGGUAGCCAAGGUGACCUGGUGGUAUAGACUAGUACUGUGUAACUUUUUCUUUUUGGUACUCGGAAUCGAAAUCAGGUCCUUGCACUUUCGAGGCAGGCAGCGGAACCACUGAGCUAAAUCCCCGGCCCAGUACUGUAUAACUUUUGAGAAGGAAUAAUUAUUUAAUUUUUUUUGUAGUGUAGGCUGGCCUUGCCCUCACUGUGUAGCCUCAAACGCAUGGCAGUUUUCCUGCCUCAGCCUCCGCAGUGCUAGGAUUAGAGGCAUGCACCACCAUGCCUGCCUAACAGUUACCUUUUUGUUUUGGUACCAGGGAUUGAACGCAGGACCUUGCACUUGCAAGACAGGCGCUGGAACCACUGAGCUCCUUCCCUGACCCUAACAGUUAACUUUUAAAUAAAAAGCACACACACUCUUUGGUUCACUGAUAAAAAUUAUCCUCUUAAAAAAAAAAAAAAGAGUACUGAGUUCUAAGCACACAGAUGUUCACUAGGAACUGUUUGUAAUAGAAAAGGGAAGAAAGGAGGGAGGGAGGGAGGAAGAAAAGGAGGAAGGAGGGAAGAAAGAAAAGUGCCCCUGGCUUAGUGUUCUCGGGAGUGACAGCAAGCUAGACCAAGGUUACCUUUUAGUACCCUAAGUGGGGAGGUUGAACAAAGGCUGGGCCCCUGUUGAUGGGUCCAACAGGACACAACUCAUCUUGUCUAGUGGUCUCUCCCGUGGCCUCCAUUCCAACAGGCUGGUCCUCAGAACGCUGCAUGUGCACACAGGCUGAGUGCCCGUCACAGUGGGCAAAGUCGGGAUGGACAGCUGGUCCUCGGUCAGUGCUGUGUGAAGCCCUCUUGGGGCCCAUUGUUCUUGACAGUCAGAUAGAAAGCACAGCUCUGUGCAUGGGGUGAGUUGUUCUUCUCUCCUGGGCUCCGUCACGCACUGUGGAUGAGUGCCUGGUACAAGGGACGCAGCAUCCCUAUGGAGUUGCCAGGAGUAGUGCAGUGUCCAGGACAGGAACAAAACACAUAUGAUGGCUACACCAGGAAACAGUGUGAGGCAAGGCCUGUGCCAGUGGUGGCAAACCUAUGGCACGUGUGCCGCAGCCGGCUGUUGUCACUGAAUGCUCUGAAUGGUUCGCCAUCACCAGCAUAGGCACUAGGAGAGGCUUUCAUUAUCUUUGAUUAGAGAUGGGGGUCAGCAGGGAACUCUGCUUUCUAGUUGCUUUAUAAACCGAGGGCCUAAAGACUAGGAGGUCCAUUAAAAUCUCAGGUGGCACCACACUGUGUCAAGGUCUAUAGUGGCAGAAGGCCAUCAAAGUUCCUGAAGUUCUCUGCUGGUUAGGGACUCAUAAUCUGAUGAUGCCUUGGCACUGACAUCUUGAUCUAGAGCCGUGCUCUUCAAUAUGGUAGCCACUGGCCACAUGUGCUAUGUAAACUGAAGUAAGUUAAAAUUUAAUAAAGUACCCUUCAGCUAAAUCCAGCCUUCAGUUACCCAAGAUACAUUCCAAGUGCUCAACCUAAGUAUGGUACCUAGAGGUGUCAUAAAGAGCAACAAACAUCCAUGGAACAUGUGGAACGUUCCAUCAGUGAAGAAUGUUCUAUUGGGCGGUGCUGAUGUAAAAGUAAAGGUCUCCACAGAAAGUCUAUCAAGAAACACCAUCUCUAGAGCUUGACUGACCAGAUCAAGGAAGCCUGAGUUUUAUUUUAUUUUGAAACAGGAGAUAAGGGAAUAAGACAUUGAGUUUGGUGUGAAUUGGGAAGCUCAAUUUUCUUAGCAAAGACACUUCCUGCUAGGGGUCACUGUGCACAAAAGUGCGUAGGCAAGGCAGUGGCUGCAGAGGAUGUGACAUUUGGGGUGAAGGCUUCCCCUGAACAGAAAGAAGAGUAUGUCCUGAGUGACAGAAGGAGGCGGCAGACACUUCUGCUACUUGCACAGGGGGUGAGUGUGGCUCUCAUCCUGGGUUUUCUGGUACUUCCCUUGCCUUUUGACUUCCUUGGCUUUCUCUCAUCUUUCUUCUGAUUCAGCUGGUAAACACAGUUGAGGCAUGUAAGCUUUGAGAGAUUUUCAAUGCCUUCCUCAAAAGGAGAGUAGUUCUUUUCUUAAUCUUGUUUCGUAUGUCUCUAACACUUUUGAAAAACUAAGGGAAGGGAAAUAAAAUUGAGGGCAGUCAUACUUCUCAUACUAGUUCAGGCUGUCCCUUGUGGUUUCUAGCACGGGGAUAUGCCUUAAUCAUUUUCAACAGAGUCUGAAGAAACACUCGGUUGCUUCUUCCCACUCCAGUCCUUUGAUGUGGACUUAUAAAGAGGAAUUUAGAAGCCAUGACUAUUGCUUGGGGGUAGGUGGCAGAAAAUUUAUCAGAGUUAGGGGCCGGGGAUUUAGCUCAGUAGUUUCGCUGCCUGCUGUGCAAGCGCAAGGACCCGAGUUUGAUCCUCGGAACCAAAAAUAAAAAAUUAGAGAGUAAGGUGUCGCUCAGGAAUUAGGAAGCAGAUUGAGUCAGAUGUUAAAAGGGUCAGUAUUUGCAGGAUACAUAAAAGGAUUAGGAACAGAGAAGAAACUGGUAGACAAAGUCCAGAGUUGUCUCCAGGAACUGUAAUGGGAGCAGUUUCCGUGAACUGGUGAGACACAGAAAGGUGCCUGCAGGGAGUAAGAGGGAGUUUCCCAGGUGGCCCUGAAAACAGCCCAAGUGCUGGACCUUUCUUCUCUAGGAUGUCUCAUCAUUGUCUCCCAAACUGAACAGUCUAGUACAGCCAAGCCUUGCCAUAGCGUGCCUCAAUGUAGAUUGUGCUUUGCAAAAAGCGCUUUUUUGUUCCAAAUUGAAGAUUUGUGGCAACCCCGCAGCAAGCGAGUCUAUCAAUACUGUUUUUCUAAUAGCUCAGACAAUCAUCAUUUUUAGCAAUAAAGUAUUUUUGAAAUCAAUGUGUAUAUUGUUCUAAUGAUAAUGUAUGUCAUUGCCCUCUUAAUAGACUACACAAUAGUGGAAACAUAACUGUUAUAUGCACCAGGAAACCAAAGCAUUCGUGUGAUUUGCUUUCUUGCAGUUGUCUGGAACUUAUUUGGCAACAUCACUGAGGUAUGUGGAACCCAAUAAACACCAGGUGAACAAACGGUCAGGAAAGACAUCGCUCUGAAUGCAUAAAUUCCUUUAUUGAAAAUAUUGGGUAGCACUGCAUUACAUAGUCAGUAUCCAUAAAUGAAGGGUCACACAUUUUCGAUCAGACAAUACUGCUUUAAAUAAGAGAACACAGCAGCUGGAGAUGCCCUUGGGAGUACAGUAUCAUGGACUAAACUAGCUAAGAGUGAACUGUACGCAGAAUGACCGUUUAGUAAAG